Molecule: ribosomal RNA, 554 nt
Filed under: uncultured bacterium
Lineage: Bacteria
Description: partial 16S ribosomal RNA
Rfam family: Bacterial small subunit ribosomal RNA
Source: RNAcentral
UAGGGAACCUUCCACAAUGGACGCAAGUCUGAUGGAGCAACGCCGCGUGAGUGAAGAAGGUUUUCGGACCGUAAAGCUCUGUUGUUGGUGAAGAAGGAUAGAGGUAGUAACUGGCCUUUAUUUGACGGUAAUCAACCAGAAAGUCACGGCUAACUACGUGCCAGCAGCCGCGGUAAUACGUAGGUGGCAAGCGUUGUCCGGAUUUAUUGGGCGUAAAGCGAGCGCAGGCGGAAGAAUAAGUCUGAUGUGAAAGCCCUCGGCUUAACCGAGGAAUUGCAUCGGAAACUGUUUUCUUGAGUGCAGAAGAGGAGAGUAGAACUCCAUGUGUAGCGGUGGAAUGCGUAGAUAUAUGGAAGAAUACCAGUGGCGAAGGCGGCUCUCUGGUCUGCAACUGACGCUGAGGCUCGAAAGCAUGGGUAGCGAACAGGAUUAGAUGCCCUGGUAGUCCAUGCCGUAAACGAUGAGUGCUAAGUGUUGGGAGGCUUCCGCCUCUCAGUGCUGCAGCUAACGCAUUAAGCACUCCGCCUGGGGGAGUACGACCGCAAGGUUGAAAC